CAAUAAUUUUAAACUCAUUAUUG
Molecule: small nuclear RNA, 23 nt
Filed under: Arabidopsis thaliana (thale cress)
Lineage: Eukaryota; Viridiplantae; Streptophyta; Magnoliopsida; Brassicales; Brassicaceae
Description: snRNA_10887
Source: RNAcentral